Molecule: ribosomal RNA, 403 nt
Filed under: Fusobacteriota bacterium
Lineage: Bacteria; Fusobacteriati; Fusobacteriota
Description: Fusobacteria bacterium partial 16S ribosomal RNA
Rfam family: Bacterial small subunit ribosomal RNA
Source: RNAcentral
UGGGGAAUAUUGCACAAUGGAGGGAACUCUGAUGCAGCGACGCCGCGUGAGUGAUGAAGGAAUUCGUUUCGUAAAACUCUGUUCUAUGGGAAGAAAAGGACUGUACCAUAGGAGAAAGCUCCGGCUAAAUACGUGCCAGCAGCCGCGGUAAUACGUAUGGAGCGAGCGUUGUCCGGAAUUAUUGGGCGUAAAGGGUGCGCAGGCGGCUUUACAAGUUGGAUGUGAAAUAUUGUGGCUCAACCACAAACGUGCAUCCAAAACUGAAAGCUUGAGUUAAGGAGAGGUAAGUGGAAUUCCUGGUGUAGCGGUGGAAUGCGUAGAUAUCAGGAGGAAUACCGGUGGCGAAGGCGACUUACUGGACUUAAACUGACGCUCAGGCACGAAAGCGUGGGGAGCAAACAGG